GUUCGUUAUUGAGGGCGCAUGGUGGAUGCCUUGGCAUGCUGAGCCGAUGAAGGACGUGUAAGGCUGCGUUAAGCCUCGGGGAGUUGUCAAUAAAGCGUUGAUCCGAGGAUGUCCGAAUGGGGAAACCUGGCCCUGGUUAUGUGGGGUUACCCUUCAGUGAAUUCAUAGCUGUUGUGGGGGUUACGCGGGGAAGUGAAACAUCUCAGUACCCGUAGGAGGAGAAAAUAAUAAUGAUUCUGCUAGUAGUGGCGAACGAACGUGGAUGAGGCUAAACCGUGUGCAUGUGAUACCUGGUAGGGGUUGUGUGUGCGGUGUUGUGGGGCCUAGCUUUGUGUCAUCUACCAGUGGCACGCCCUUUUUCGCAUUGUUGUUAGGUGAAGUGGUUUGGAAUGGCCUGCCGGAGUAGGUGAGAGUCCUGUAGCUGAAGAUGAUGAUGUGGGGGUUGUUGGGUUCCCGAGUAGCAACGGGCUCGUGGAAUCUGUUGUGAAUCUGCCGGGACCACCCGGUAAGCCUAAAUACUCAGUGUGACCGAUAGUGGAUAGUACCGUGAGGGAAUGGUGAAAAGUACCCCGGGAGGGGAGUGAAAUAGUUCCUGAAACCAUGUGCUUACAAUCCGUCAGAGCACCUUGUUUGUGUGUGAUGGCGUGCCUUUUGAAGAAUGAGCCUGCGAGUCAGCGGCAUGUCGCGAGGUUAACCCGUGUGGGGUAGCCGUAGGGAAACCGAAUCCUAAUGGGGUGUUUUAGUGGCAUGUCCUGGACCCGAAGCGGGGUGAUCUACCCAUGGCCAGUGUGAAGCAGCUGUAAGAGGUUGUGGAGGCGCGAACCCACGUAGGUUGAAAACUGCGGGGAUGAGCUGUGGGUAGGGGUGAAAGGCCAAUCAAACUCCGUGAUAGCUGGUUCUCCCCGAAAUGCAUUUAGGUGCAGCGUCGUAUUAGCUUGGUGGAGGUAGAGCGACUGGUUGGUUGAGCGGGACUACAAUCUUAGCAAUGUCAGCCAAACUCCGAAUGCCAUCAAUUGUGUUGUGCGGCAGUGAGACUGUGGGGGAUAAGCUUCAUAGUCGAGAGGGAAACAGCCCAGAUCGCCGGUUAAGGCCCCUAAGGGUGUACUAAGUGGAAAAGGAUGUGGGAUCGCGAAGACAGCCAGGAGGUUGGCUUAGAAGCAGCCAUCCUUGAAAGAGUGCGUAAUAGCUCACUGGUCGAGUGGUUCUGCGCCGACAAUGUAGUGGGGCUCAAGUACACCGCCGAAGCCGCGGCAAGCAACUUACGUUGUUUGGGUAGGGGAGCGUCGUGCAUGGGUGGAAGCGUUACCGUGAGGAGGCGUGGACUGUGUGCGAGUGAGAAUGCAGGCAUGAGUAACGAAUUGUAAGGUGAGAAUCCUUACCGCCGGAUGACUAAGGGUUCCUGGGUCAAGUUCGUCUUCCCAGGGUGAGUCGGGACCUAAGGCGAGGCCGACAGGCGUAGUCGAUGGAUAACCAGUUGAUAUUCUGGUACCCGUACAUGUGCGCCCAUGAUAAAGCACUGAUACUAACCACUGCGGAUACGCUACUAAGCAUUCUUUGAGUGUUGGUGGUGUUGAUGUCGUGGGGCCUGAUGUGUGGUUCAAGUGAUGGGGUGACGCAGUGAGGUAGCCGCGCCACUUAGUGGAUUGGUGGUGUAAGCGUGUAGGCCGUGUGGUAGGUAAAUCCGCUACACAUGUGGUUGAGGCGUGAUGCGUAGACCCAGUGGGGUUGAUGGUGGUGAUCCUGUACUGUCGAGAAAAGCCUCUAGCGAGUGUGUGUAUGGCCCGUACCCUAAACCGACACAGGUGGUCAGGUUGAAGAUACUAAGGCGUUCGGGUGAACUGUGGUUAAGGAAUUCGGCAAAAUGCCCCCGUAACUUCGGGAGAAGGGGGGCCCUGUGAUGUGAAGACCCUUGCGGUUGGAGUGUUGUGGGGUCGCAGAGAAUAGAGGGAAGCGACUGUUUAUCAAAAACACAGGUCCAUGCGAAGACGUUAAGUUGAUGUAUAUGGACUGACGCCUGCCCGGUGCUGGAAGGUUAAGAGGACCGGUUAGUAACUUUUUUGGUUGCGAAGCUGAGAAUUUAAGCCCCAGUAAACGGCGGUGGUAACUAUAACCAUCCUAAGGUAGCGAAAUUCCUUGUCGGGUAAGUUCCGACCUGCACGAAUGGCGUA
Molecule: ribosomal RNA, 2168 nt
Filed under: human metagenome
Description: bacterial LSU rRNA
Rfam family: Bacterial large subunit ribosomal RNA
Source: RNAcentral